This 66-nucleotide transfer RNA is filed under the name Stenacron interpunctatum. RNAcentral describes it as "tRNA-Tyr". It matches the Rfam family "tRNA". Rfam says of the family: Transfer RNA (tRNA) molecules are approximately 80 nucleotides in length. Their secondary structure includes four short double-helical elements and three loops (D, anti-codon, and T loops). Lineage: Eukaryota; Metazoa; Arthropoda; Insecta; Ephemeroptera; Heptageniidae. The record is from RNAcentral.
GGUAGGAUGGCUGAGAAUUAGGUAAUAGACUGUAAAUCUAUCUAGGAGGAUAUCCCUCUCUUACCA